UACGGACUUGAAAAUCCGUUGGCUUUAUUGACCAUGAGGGUUCAAGUCCCUCUACCCCCA
Molecule: transfer RNA, 60 nt
Filed under: Grimmia funalis
Lineage: Eukaryota; Viridiplantae; Streptophyta; Bryopsida; Grimmiales; Grimmiaceae
Description: partial transfer RNA-Leu
Source: RNAcentral